This 71-nucleotide small RNA is filed under the name bovine gut metagenome. RNAcentral's name for it is "GA-cis RNA". It matches the Rfam family "GA-cis RNA", at positions 16 to 87 of the family's 88-position model. The record is from RNAcentral.
CAUCGCCGAAGGCGAUUCUUAAAUGCGACGACCGACUUGCCGCCGAAGCGAAGCGAGGGGGCGUUACAUUA